CUAACCUAUAGCUUAUUUUUUGUUGCAAAUUUUGCUAACAACUAAACUUUUUUUCCCCUUUCUAGGUCACUUUUGGGUAAGAAACACUCGUAUAUAUCACUGAUCCUAUGAUUUGCCUCUAAAUGAAUGGUCUUUUAGAUUGUCUGACGAUCCAGUCGGAGCAGAGUGCUCAAAGGAUUACCUUGUGAUUCCGGCUGGUGUUGAUACGAAAACAGAUGGAGAUUUAGAAGCCACGGAUAUGUCAAACGCGCAAAGAAUUUGUGGUAAUGUUUUUUCCAUCGACGAACCAACUUCAGUUUCUAUUUGUGCAAAAAGUGCACCUUUCUUCGUUGAAUUCAAAUCUGAUGGAGAUGAAGCGGAAGGGACAGGGACUCCUGGUUUUAGUUUGAAUUAUAAACAAAUGAUCUGUCCCUGAUGUGAAAGAAAGCAAGUAUUUUCACUAUGUUCAAUGGCUCUAGAAUAAAUCAUGAAUGUUGUUUUGCA
This is a long non-coding RNA of Tigriopus californicus, 483 nucleotides long. RefSeq lists it as uncharacterized. Lineage: Eukaryota; Metazoa; Arthropoda; Copepoda; Harpacticoida; Harpacticidae. The transcript has 3 exons. The record is from RefSeq and is a predicted model, not a curated record.